Molecule: long non-coding RNA, 2817 nt
Organism: Chelonia mydas (Green sea turtle)
Lineage: Eukaryota; Metazoa; Chordata; Testudines; Cheloniidae
Exons: 4
Source: RefSeq, a predicted model, not a curated record
AGUUUCUCUCCCCCAUCCCUGCUAAUCAACCUGCCUAGUUGCAGGUAAUGUGGAAAGCCUUACCCUUUAAUUACAUAUAGGUGAGGUUUUAGCUCUGCUGUUCAAAACUUGCAGUGUCCAGGAAGGAAGGGAAUGUGCUAAGCUACUUAGGGGAAGUGCUUAUGUGUGGUGAAGGUGAUGCUGACUGAGACUGGGCCUACUUGGUAGUAAUAAUUUUGAAAGGGGUCUUGAAUUACAAAGGGAUCUGCUGAGGAAAUAUCAUGAAGGAGAAUUUGGAUUCGGAGGCAUCAUUGCUCUACAUUUUCCUCUGAUAUUUUAGCAUUUCAAACUUCAAGUGUGGUUUUGAUGUCCUCAAAAACUUCACAGGACAGCUGAGUAAGGCUACUGGAAUGAUAUUUAGGCUACACUCUGUACAAGGGGAAAUCAUAUGAGUAACUGACCUUACAACUUUGCUGGUGGUCCAAUACCGUGAGGGAAGCCCAGUAAAAUGUUGGCCAUGAAAAUUAACUUUUCUCUUGACCUUGCAAAUACUUUUUCAGUGAAGGCAGUCCUGACUGGAAUUUGAAAUCAUAUCAUCCAGCAUAUGAGAGCCUCUGAGAUCCUGCUUGGAGGAUACAUUUGUGAAAAUAAGUCUGUGAGGGCAGUCACAAGAGGAAGAUCAGAGUAAUAUGAAAAGCAUGACUGCGGACUCAAGCAAGACACUGGAAGUGGGGAAAUGAAUCACUAGACAUGAUACCACGGGCUGGUUGUUUGACAUGUCUGGCCAGAGGGUCAGGAAAGAAAAGGGGAAGCUAUGGAGAGAGAGUAACUCAAGAAGUGGGUUAUUUCUUAUUUUCUUUAGUGACAUGGAUUGUCCUAAUCUGGAUUAGUUUGUGUAGAAUUUAAAGUGCAGAUGCUCAGCUGAUAUCAGUUGUCACAGCUCCGUUGAAGUCAAUGGAGUUACAAUCUCUAACACCAGCUGAGGAUCUGCCCCUAAGGCUCUAGCUAUGUUGUCCCUACUGUUUCUUUUGUUUUGAUUUGAUUUUAUCUAUUAAUCUUUUACAACAACCACAGUGAGGUCAGACUGCUUUUGGGGAACUGCACCUGGAGAGGUGAAAAAGACUUUUCACCUCUAAGAAGUGGUAAAGAAAGAUGAGUACCCUACUGGAGGGUGUGAACCUCUCUCAUGAACUGUCUUACCAUCAUGGCUACAAAUACUUGGAAUGGAGGCCUCCAGUGACCAUGGACAAGAACAGGGUGUAAGGUCACAGAAGCUCCAUGCACCCUGCUGUGCAGGGGAGCAGCUAUCCACAUUCAGUUAAGAAUUACCUAGUGCAGACUAAGAGAACAACAAGAGCAAGAAAGAACAUGAUGAAAGUAUUCACAAGAGAGAAUGUUGUGUGUCUCCUCUGACUAUCUGUACUGAACUGACCAUAAAAUGCCUGGUGGGCUAUGCAGCCAGGAGGCAAAGUUCUCUCCAAUUAAGUAUAGGAGACAUAGAAAACAAGUCAUAACCAAGGCUACGAUUUAGUCGUGGAGGUCAUGGCAGUCAGGGAUUCCGUGACUUUACCGGACCUCCAUGACUUCUUCCGUUUCAGCUGUCAGCAACUGAAGCGGGGGCUGAAGGCAGGACUGUGCCCCCCUGCGCCACUGCAACUGGGGCUGGAUGGCUAGAAUCAAGACCCUGCAGUUCCUGCCCUGCGGUUUGCGGGGAAUGGCGGGACUGCAGCCGGGCUGUGCGUCCCUUUCCCGCAGCUGCGGCCAGCUGCACACCCGCUGCUGGGCCCCAGCCCCACGGCUUCUGUGGGGGCUGUGCUGGGGCCAUGUGCCCCAGCUCCUGCAGCUUUCACCGGGGGCUGCAGCUGGGGCCGCGUGCCCUUGCCCUGUGGGGUGAACUGCAGCGGGGGCUGUGCGCCCCUGCCUCGCAGCAUCCCAGGGCUGCGCGCCCCCUCCUGGCUGUGCCUGGCAUUUGGGGGGAGGCUGCAGCUGGGGCUGGGCACCUCUGUCCCCCGCUGCGGCCACUGGAGCUGGGGCUGUUUCCCCCGCCAUGGUGGGGGUCUUGGCCUGUCAUUCCCGCCACCACCCACCCAUGGGACUCCAUUCCUCUCCCUGUUUAGCCCUACCCCUGGUUAUUUUUAGUAAAGUCAGGGAUAGGUCAUGGGCUCCCUGAAUUUUUGUUUAUUGCCCUGACCUGUCCCUGACUUUUACUAAAAAUAACCAUGACAAAAUCUUAGCCUUAGUCAUAACAGACGCCAGUGACAUGCACCACAGACUGGAGUUCAGAGCGGCUCCAUGUCUUCUCUACAAACUGGGAAAGAGGGGAAGUUUUCUCUUCCUGUUGCCCUGGUGCAGCCUUUUUUUCUCUUCUUUUCUGGAGCUGAUUCUGUUGUAAACCUGUCUUUUCUUGUUACUUCAUGUGGGUGUUUGCAGUUGUCUGUAAAGAUACAUAAGGGGGACAAGAAGCCUGGUUUGUUAUGUUUCAGUGGCUAAAUGUUAUGUGUGUGACAGCAAAAUACCUUUAUUUGUGAUAUUUGCCUACAUACAUUGGCGCAUGUAAUUAGGCCCAUGCAGUUGUGUUGUGCACAUCAAAGAAGAUCACAAGCUUCUCCACUGAAGUCAAUGGACUUAAACUGCUGUUAGUGUGAGCAGAAAGCCCUUUGGAUCUUGACUGUCAUUAUUGUCUUAGGAAUCUCCUGUAAAGAAAGGAACUCCCCAUAAUCUGUUCCCUUUUGUGCUCCCUUUUUGCAGAAGUCUGUGUGAUCAAAUGUUUCUGUCACAAAUAUUUAUGGAAAGUGAAGCUGAAGUCGACUUGCUCAAAGACAUAUUAAAGGCAAUUUU